RNAcentral lists this ribosomal RNA (492 nucleotides) under uncultured bacterium. RNAcentral's name for it is "partial 16S ribosomal RNA". It matches the Rfam family "Bacterial small subunit ribosomal RNA", at positions 29 to 507 of the family's 1533-position model. The record is from RNAcentral.
AGUGAACGCUGGCGGUAGGCCUAACACAUGCAAGUCGAACGGCAGCACAGUAAGAGCUUGCCCUUACGGGUGGCGAGUGGCGGACGGGUGAGGAAUACAUCGGAAUCUACUUUUUCGUGGGGGAUAACGUAGGGAAACUUACGCUAAUACCGCAUACGACCUACGGGUUAAAGCAGGGGAUCUUCGGACCUUGCGCGAUUGAAUGAGCCGAUGUCGGAUUAGCUAGUUGGCGGGGUAAAGGCCCACCAAGGCGACGAUCCGUAGCUGGUCUGAGAGGAUGAUCAGCCACACUGGAACUGAGACACGGUCCAGACUCCUACGGGAGGCAGCAGUGGGGAAUAUUGGACAAUGGGCGCAAGCCUGAUCCAGCCAUACCGCGUGGGUGAAGAAGGCCUUCGGGUUGUAAAGCCCUUUUGUUGGGAAAGAAAAGCAGCAGGUUAAUACCCCGCUGUUCUGACGGUACCCAAAGAAUAAGCACCGGCUAACUUCGUG